Small nucleolar RNA from Cavia porcellus (domestic guinea pig), 220 nucleotides. Its record names the gene U3. It matches the Rfam family "Small nucleolar RNA U3". Rfam says of the family: Small nucleolar RNAs (snoRNAs) are involved in the processing and modification of rRNA in the nucleolus. There are two main classes of snoRNAs: the box C/D class, and the box H/ACA class. The record is from Ensembl. NCBI's taxonomy places the organism in Eukaryota, Metazoa, Chordata, Mammalia, Rodentia, Caviidae.
AAGGCUACACAUUCAGGGGUCAUUUCUAUAGCUCAGUAUUAGAGAAAUCUCUCGGAUUGUGUAAAGUGCCAGAAACUAAGAGGAAGAAGCAUAGUGUACCUUCCUGGGCCGGAAACUGGCUCUUGGUGUUGCUUUGCUGCACCUGCUACUGACCAUUGAUGAUUAUUCUUACUUUUUCCUUGGAGGGAGUAAGUGAGAAUGAAGAUAGUCAGUCAGAAGU